RNAcentral lists this non-coding RNA (964 nucleotides) under Trichomonas vaginalis G3. RNAcentral describes it as "Eukaryotic small subunit ribosomal RNA". It matches the Rfam family "Eukaryotic small subunit ribosomal RNA", at positions 44 to 1205 of the family's 1831-position model. Lineage: Eukaryota; Parabasalia; Trichomonadida; Trichomonadidae. The record is from Rfam by way of RNAcentral.
UUAAGCCAUGCAAGUGUUAGUUCAGGUAACGAAACUGCGAAUAGCUCAUUAAUUUGCUCAGAAUCUAUUUGGCGGCGACCAACAGGUCUUAAAUUGGAUAGCAGCAGCAACUCUGGUGCUAAUACAUGCGAUUGUUUCUCCAGAUGUGAAUUAUGGAGGAAAAGUUGACCUCAUCAGAGGCACGCCAUUCGACUGAGUGACCUAUCAGCUUGUACUUAGGGUCUUUACCUAGGUAGGCUAUCACGGGUAACGGGCGGUUACCGUCGGACUGCCGGAGAAGGCGCCUGAGAGAUAGCGACUAUAUCCACGGGUAGCAGCAGGCGCGAAACUUUCCCACUCGAGACUUUCGGAGGAGGUAAUGACCAGUUCCAUUGGUGCCUUUUGGUACUGUGGAUAGGGGUACGGUUUUCCACCGUACCGAAACCUAGCAGAGGGCCAGUCUGGUGCCAGCAGCUGCGGUAAUUCCAGCUCUGCGAGUUUGCUCCCAUAUUGUUGCAGUUAAAACGCCCGUAGUCUGAAUUGGCCAGCAAUGGUCGUACGUAUUUUUACGUUCACUGUGAACAAAUCAGGACGCUUAGAGUAUGGCCACAUGAAUGACUCAGCGCAGUAUGAAGUCUUUGUUUUCUUCCGAAAACAAGCUCAAUGAGAGCCAUCGGGGGUAGAUCUAUCUCAUGACGAGUGGUGGAAUACUUUGACUCAUGAGAGAGAAGCUGAGGCGAAGGCGUCUACCUAGAGGGUUUCUGUCGAUCAAGGGCGAGAGUAGGAGUAUCCAACAGGAUUAGAGACCCUGGUAGUUCCUACCUUAAACGAUGCCGACAGGAGUUUGUCAUUUGUUAAUGGCAGAAUCUUUGGAGAAAUCAUAGUUCUUGGGCUCUGGGGGAACUACGACCGCAAGGCUGAAACUUGAAGGAAUUGACGGAAGGGCACACCAGGGGUGGAGCCUGUGGCUUAAUUUGAAUCAACA